CGGGACGGGUGAGUAAUGUCUGGGAAACUGCCCGAUGGAGGGGGAUAACUACUGGAAACGGUAGCUAAUACCGCAUAACGUCGCAAGACCAAAGAGGGGACCUUCGGGCCUCUUGCCAUCGGAUGUGCCCAGAUGGGAUUAGCUAGUAGGUGGGGUAACGGCUCACCUAGGCGAUGAUCCCUAGCUGGUCUGAGAGGAUGACCAGCCACACUGGAACUGAGACACGGUCCAG
Molecule: ribosomal RNA, 232 nt
Filed under: uncultured bacterium
Lineage: Bacteria
Description: partial 16S ribosomal RNA
Rfam family: Bacterial small subunit ribosomal RNA
Source: RNAcentral